CCCUGUAUUGCCUUAGUAGCGGCGAGUGAGCGGCAAAAGCUCAAAUUUGAAAUCUGGCUCUUUCAGAGUCCGAGUUGUAAUUUGAAGAAGGUAUCUUUGGGUCUGGCUCUUGUCUAUGUUUCUUGGAACAGAACGUCACAGAGGGUGAGAAUCCCGUGCGAUGAGAUGAUCCAGGCCUAUGUAAAGUUCCUUCGAAGAGUCGAGUUGUUUGGGAAUGCAGCUCUAAGUGGGUGGUAAAUUCCAUCUAAAGCUAAAUAUUGGCGAGAGACCGAUAGCGAACAAGUACAGUGAUGGAAAGAUGAAAAGAACUUUGAAAAGAGAGUGAAAAAGUACGUGAAAUUGUUGAAAGGGAAGGGCUUGAGAUCAGACUUGGUAUUUUGUAUGUUACUUCUUCGGGGGUGGCCUCUACAGUUUAUCGGGCCAGCAUCAGUUUGGGCGGUAGGAGAAUUGCGUUGGAAUGUGGCACGGCUUCGGUUGUGUGUUAUAGCCUUCGUCGAUACUGCCAGCCUAGACUGAGGACUGCGGUUUAUACCUAGGAUGUUGGCAUAAUGAUCUUAAGUGGCCCGUC
This 568-nucleotide ribosomal RNA is filed under the name Candida tropicalis. Its description in RNAcentral is "LSU rRNA". It matches the Rfam family "Eukaryotic large subunit ribosomal RNA", at positions 68 to 653 of the family's 3401-position model. The record is from RNAcentral. Lineage: Eukaryota; Fungi; Ascomycota; Pichiomycetes; Serinales; Debaryomycetaceae.